This 301-nucleotide ribosomal RNA is filed under the name uncultured bacterium. RNAcentral's name for it is "partial 16S ribosomal RNA". It matches the Rfam family "Bacterial small subunit ribosomal RNA", at positions 509 to 807 of the family's 1533-position model. The record is from RNAcentral.
CAGCCGCCACGGUAAUACGUAGGGUGCAAGCGUUAAUCGGAAUUACUGGGCGUAAAGCGUGCGCAGGCGAUUUGUUAAGACAGAUGUGAAAUCCCCGGGCUCAACCUGGGAACUGCAUUUGUGACUGGCAAGCUAGAGUCUGGCAGAGGGGGGUGGAAUUCCGCGUGUAGCAGUGAAAUGCGUAGAUAUGCGGAGGAACACCGAUGGCGAAGGCAGCCCCCUGGGCCAACACUGACGCUCAUGCACGAAAGCGUGGGGAGCAAACAGGAUUAGAUACCCCAGUAGUCCCUGUCUCUUAUAC